This is a long non-coding RNA of Manihot esculenta (cassava), 1313 nucleotides long. RefSeq lists it as uncharacterized. Lineage: Eukaryota; Viridiplantae; Streptophyta; Magnoliopsida; Malpighiales; Euphorbiaceae. The transcript has 4 exons. The record is from RefSeq and is a predicted model, not a curated record.
UUUCAGUGGAUCCACUUGAAAAAUCUUGAAAAUUUUGUAAUUAAAAAAAGAAAAUUCCAUUUUUUCUUUUCCGAGAAUCUUGCGACACAGAUUUAACAACAUUGGGAACGCAAAAUCGCACCGGCGCCCAACAAGAUCCUCUAAGGUAUAACAACACCGGGAGGAAAAGGGAAAUCCCGAAAGCUCCUUCAUCUCCGACUCGGAGACGCUAAUGCCAAACACAGAACUCCAAUUGCUGUGGCGUAUUUAAUCCAAAGAUGACAGAAAACGGAGGCAACAUGCUAAGCAAAAAGCAAAAAAGGUCCAAUAUCUCAGUUAAUCUUGUUAGUUUUGGUAUUAUCCUUUGGCCAUGCAUUUUGGAUUUGGUUUAAUUAAAUUUUGCUAGUAUAUAUAUACUCUUUUGCUUCUCUAUCUAAUUGAAGGGUGAAAAGAGAACUUGAAGAUCUGUGUGAACGCUUGAAACAGAAAUAUCUGAAGAUGAAUAUUCCAGUUAAUGUCAAUAAUUAUGAUUUUAGUAACGGUCGAUUUCCGCUUAUUUAUAAGAAUCCCUAUUCGGGGGAAGAAAAAUGCACCAUAAUGGAAGGGUGUAAAUUUUUCACUGGGGAGAAUGCAUUACUUUUAAGAAUUGAACGAUUGGAUAAAGCUGAACUAGAGAAGCUAGAGACACCUGAAGAAAAGCAUGCAAAGGAGAACUGAUAGCGAAGCAGAGUUAUGCUAAGGCUGCAUUAGCUCAUUACAAUCAUCAAGAGGAUGUGGAUUUUGAGCUUGUGAAGGUUCUGAAUUGCUCAACGUUUUGUGUUUUGGGCUUAUGGAAUCAUAUCAAUUUUGAGGCCAAACCCAGAAAUUUCAAAUGCUCCCCAAAACUCUUUUUUGCUGAAUUAUAUGGAAAAGCUUUACGUAUCACUUGCUGUUGUAUGCUGAAAUCUAAGGGCUCUGAUGCCAGCGCCCUGAAGGGUUGUUAUUUUUGCGGUUCCUAUGUUCGUCAUCCUGAUAGUGGAUUUCGUGCUGGCGGUGAACGUGGCUUGAGGGUUGGCAAGUAUGGCGGAAUUCCUGUUGAUCGUGGUCCGGUACUUCCUCAAUGGUCUAGUUGAGCUGUAAUCGAAUGAGCACAUCAAUAGCAGCUGCUAAUCGCUAAACUUUCUCCCAUCCGCAGCAUUUAUAAUGGUUUUUGUAUCUCAACUUUACUAUGCAAUGCUUGUUAAUCAUCUCUGAAUCUACAUUGAAAACUAUCACUUUGUAAUGUCCUGUCUAUCUAUAUACGGAUGAUAACGCUAGAAUUUUAUUAAUUUAUAUUUAGUAUUUAAACGUGAAGU